RNAcentral lists this transfer RNA (63 nucleotides) under Marmota marmota marmota (Alpine marmot). It matches the Rfam family "tRNA", at positions 1 to 60 of the family's 71-position model. Rfam says of the family: Transfer RNA (tRNA) molecules are approximately 80 nucleotides in length. Their secondary structure includes four short double-helical elements and three loops (D, anti-codon, and T loops). Lineage: Eukaryota; Metazoa; Chordata; Mammalia; Rodentia; Sciuridae. RNAcentral also lists the same sequence under 4 other names. The record is from Rfam by way of RNAcentral.
GGGGAUGUAGCUCAGUGGUAGAGCACUUGCCUAGCAUGCAUGAGGCCCUAGGUUGAAUCUCCC